RNAcentral lists this long non-coding RNA (848 nucleotides) under Olea europaea subsp. europaea. The record is from RNAcentral. Lineage: Eukaryota; Viridiplantae; Streptophyta; Magnoliopsida; Lamiales; Oleaceae.
GAGAAAAAGAAGCAUGCAGGGAGCUGGAAUGCUUCAUCCGGGCUCAACGAUGCAAUAAUAAUGCAAAGCCCAUAAUGGAGACCCAAAAUAGAAACUAUAGGGUGUUGGUAUGUCCAAUUUAGCAUUGUAGCAUAAGGUAAUUACUGUGAUCCAAAAUGGGGGAAGGCAAAACCAAUAUUGAGGCAGACAAUAGGCCAAAAAUCUUUAGGUAGGUUGAAAAGUUAGUACGCCCAAAAAAAUUAGUGCAACCCGAUAUUGAAUAGGCAUUUUACCCUAAUUCUUGGGCUCAAUUUAUGUAAAAUUUUGGCCCAAUUCACUAUUCAAAACAGGUUGAAUUUUGGCAUAUAUUCCGAGACUAACAAAUUGGAGUUGCAGAAGAUGAUACACGGUUCUCCAACGACUACUCCACUUGGGUCCUUUUUGUUUUGCAUGAAAAACAACGAAAAUUCUUCUCCAAAAGCCAACAGAGAGAUGGGAAUCGAGGAUUUUCACAGUAAACUCCAAUUGUAAAACGAAACCCAUAUUAUCUUUCGUGUUUGGAGCAAUAAUGAAGAGAGAAAAGAGAGGAUGGAAAUUGAAUUGUGUAGGUAAACAGUAAACUGAUGUUGGAAGUAUCUCGAUGAAUUAUGAGUUCCAUUGAUGUUUAUUGGAGUGAUCUUUCUUCAUUUUGGAGUUUGUUCAAAAGGAGAUCAGAAGCAAGAAGAUUGGAUCUGAGAACUGAGUUUUUGAAUUCGGCCCUAUUUUAAUUUGAUAUGUACAUCUUUUUGUCUACGUUGGACUUUGAAAUCAUUCAGAAGGCAGAAAUAUCUCUUUGAGCUUCUUGGUUGAGGAACUGUCUGAAAUUAUUG